Molecule: long non-coding RNA, 485 nt
Filed under: Heterocephalus glaber (naked mole-rat)
Lineage: Eukaryota; Metazoa; Chordata; Mammalia; Rodentia; Bathyergidae
Description: lncRNA (ENSHGLG00000031265.2)
Source: RNAcentral
CUCCCUCCUCAAAGUUCUUCCCAUCUAUACUGGACUGGAGUUCACAGGGCUCCCAAUCCCAGAGGGUGAGCUAAACACGUAUCUGUGACACAGAGACCAUGCCAUCUCUGCUAGCAGGAAAGAGGAGGGCAGGAUGCAGGUUGACAAGGUUUCAAGAUUUUCCCAACUGGUUUUGAAAGGCAACCUGUGGAGUAUUUCACAAAUGAGAAAACAGAGGUUCCAAAAGUUACUGGAAUCCAUGUUCUUACCUUCUUCCUGGAUAUGAAGAGGAAGCAGUGUGGGCCACUUCAAAGGCCUGGUCUCGUCCUGUCUGCCUGGCUGGGAUUGCAGUGUUCCCUGAGCAGUCUUGGAAGUGACUUAAUGAGUUGGCAAAGGCUCUGUCAGUCCGAGUCCCUAGAUGACCAUCCUAGGGAGGACUGCUCCACCUACCUCUUGCCCAGCCCAGAACUAUGAACUGAACAGGAAAUAAACUCCCAAUGUGAUUA